This 451-nucleotide ribosomal RNA is filed under the name Dendropoma corrodens (ringed wormsnail). RNAcentral's name for it is "12S ribosomal RNA". The record is from RNAcentral. Lineage: Eukaryota; Metazoa; Mollusca; Gastropoda; Littorinimorpha; Vermetidae.
UUUAGAGUGUAAAUUGCUAAUAGCUGCCGGGGAACUACGAGAGUUAUAGUCUUAAAAUCCAAAAAGUCUGGCGGUGUCUUAGACUCAUCAGGGGAACUUGUCUCCGAAUCGAUGAUCCACGUAGAACCUUACCCUGCUUUGUAAUACUGCCUGCAUACCGUCGUCGCCAGUCUUUGUUAGUGUAAGAUGAAAGAAGAGGGCGUAAGAAACUAUUGUUGCUUAUGUCAGAUCAAGGUACAGCGAAUAGCGGGGAGGGGGUGAGUUACAAUUAGAAUUUAUAAUACGGAGGGUUUAGGGAAGAAUGCUAAAUCUGAAGGAGGACUUGAAAGUAAAGAUAAUUUAUAGAGAUUUCUUGAACAAAGUUAGGACGUGUACAAAUCGCCCGUCGCUUUCAUUGAAAAGUGAAAUAAGUCGUAACAUAGUAGGGGUAACGGAAGUUGCUUCUAGAUAA